AACGCACCUUGCGCCCCUUGGCAUUCCGAAGGGCACACCCGUUUGAGUGUCGUGAAAUCCUCAACCUUCUCCCUUUCUUGUUGAAUUGGGGGAAAGGCUUGGACUUUGGAGGUAUCAUUUUUUGCUGGCCUCUUUCCACUUGAAGCCAGCUCCUCUUAAAGGAAUUAGUGGGAUCCCCUUUGCCGAUCCUUGACGUGAUAAGCUUUUGCAACCUCGUCUCGAGAGGUAGAGAAACCCUGCUUCUAAAUUGUCUCGUUUGAGAUAUGGGUGGUUUUGAAAGGUUUGUUUUUUUGAUCCACCAAAUCCUUUUUGACCUCAAAUCGGGUGAGACUACCCGCUGAACUUAA
RNAcentral lists this unclassified non-coding RNA (347 nucleotides) under uncultured Russulales. RNAcentral's name for it is "sequence contains 5.8S rRNA gene, ITS2, 28S rRNA gene". Lineage: Eukaryota; Fungi; Basidiomycota; Agaricomycetes; Agaricales. The record is from RNAcentral.